GCGCCCGUAGCUCAGUUGGAUAGAGUGACAGACUUCGAAUCUGGAGGUCGCUGGUUCGAUUCCAGCCGGGCGCA
Molecule: transfer RNA, 74 nt
Filed under: Candidatus Omnitrophota bacterium
Lineage: Bacteria; Pseudomonadati; Candidatus Omnitrophota
Description: Candidatus Omnitrophica bacterium tRNA-Arg
Rfam family: tRNA
About the family: Transfer RNA (tRNA) molecules are approximately 80 nucleotides in length. Their secondary structure includes four short double-helical elements and three loops (D, anti-codon, and T loops).
Source: RNAcentral